RNAcentral lists this ribosomal RNA (1552 nucleotides) under Pectobacterium parmentieri. Its description in RNAcentral is "bacterial SSU rRNA". It matches the Rfam family "Bacterial small subunit ribosomal RNA". Lineage: Bacteria; Pseudomonadati; Pseudomonadota; Gammaproteobacteria; Enterobacterales; Pectobacteriaceae. The record is from RNAcentral.
AAAUUGAAGAGUUUGAUCAUGGCUCAGAUUGAACGCUGGCGGCAGGCCUAACACAUGCAAGUCGAGCGGUAGCACAGAAGAGCUUGCUCUUCGGGUGACGAGCGGCGGACGGGUGAGUAAUGUCUGGGAAACUGCCUGAUGGAGGGGGAUAACUACUGGAAACGGUAGCUAAUACCGCAUAACGUCUUCGGACCAAAGAGGGGGACCUUCGGGCCUCUUGCCAUCGGAUGUGCCCAGAUGGGAUUAGCUAGUAGGUGAGGUAAUGGCUCACCUAGGCGACGAUCCCUAGCUGGUCUGAGAGGAUGACCAGCCACACUGGAACUGAGACACGGUCCAGACUCCUACGGGAGGCAGCAGUGGGGAAUAUUGCACAAUGGGCGCAAGCCUGAUGCAGCCAUGCCGCGUGUGUGAAGAAGGCCUUCGGGUUGUAAAGCACUUUCAGCGGGGAGGAAGGCGAUAAGGUUAAUAACCUUGUCGAUUGACGUUACCCGCAGAAGAAGCACCGGCUAACUCCGUGCCAGCAGCCGCGGUAAUACGGAGGGUGCAAGCGUUAAGCGGAAUGACUGGGCGUGAAGCGCACGCAGGCGGUCUGUUAAGUUGGAUGUGAAAUCCCCGGGCUUAACCUGGGAACUGCAUUCAAAACUGACAGGCUAGAGUCUUGUAGAGGGGGGUAGAAUUCCAGGUGUAGCGGUGAAAUGCGUAGAGAUCUGGAGGAAUACCGGUGGCGAAGGCGGCCCCCUGGACAAAGACUGACGCUCAGGUGCGAAAGCGUGGGGAGCAAACAGGAUUAGAUACCCUGGUAGUCCACGCUGUAAACGAUGUCGACUUGGAGGUUGUGCCCUUGAGGCGUGGCUUCCGGAGCUAACGCGUUAAGUCGACCGCCUGGGGAGUACGGCCGCAAGGUUAAAACUCAAAUGAAUUGACGGGGGCCCGCACAAGCGGUGGAGCAUGUGGUUUAAUUCGAUGCAACGCGAAGAACCUUACCUACUCUUGACAUCCACAGAAUUUGGUAGAGAUACCUUAGUGCCUUCGGGAACUGUGAGACAGGUGCUGCAUGGCUGUCGUCAGCUCGUGUUGUGAAAUGUUGGGUUAAGUCCCGCAACGAGCGCAACCCUUAUCCUUUGUUGCCAGCGAGUAAUGUCGGGAACUCAAAGGAGACUGCCGGUGAUAAACCGGAGGAAGGUGGGGAUGACGUCAAGUCAUCAUGGCCCUUACGAGUAGGGCUACACACGUGCUACAAUGGCGUAUACAAAGAGAAGCGACCUCGCGAGAGCAAGCGGACCUCAUAAAGUACGUCGUAGUCCGGAUUGGAGUCUGCAACUCGACUCCAUGAAGUCGGAAUCGCUAGUAAUCGUAGAUCAGAAUGCUACGGUGAAUACGUUCCCGGGCCUUGUACACACCGCCCGUCACACCAUGGGAGUGGGUUGCAAAAGAAGUAGGUAGCUUAACCUUCGGGAGGGCGCUUACCACUUUGUGAUUCAUGACUGGGGUGAAGUCGUAACAAGGUAACCGUAGGGGAACCUGCGGUUGGAUCACCUCCUUACCAAAAAGA